AUGAACGCUGGCGGCGUGCUUAACACAUGCAAGUCGAACGGAAAGGCCCAAGCUUGCUUGGGUACUCGAGUGGCGAACGGGUGAGUAACACGUGGGUGAUCUGCCCUGCACUUCGGGAUAAGCCUGGGAAACUGGGUCUAAUACCGGAUAGGACCACUUCUUGGAUGUUGUGGUGGAAAGUUUUUUCGGUGUGGGAUGAGCUCGCGGCCUAUCAGCUUGUUGGUGGGGUAAUGGCCUACCAAGGCGUCGACGGGUAGCCGGCCUGAGAGGGUGUACGGCCACAUUGGGACUGAGAUACGGCCCAGACUCCUACGGGAGGCAGCAGUGGGGAAUAUUGCACAAUGGGCGCAAGCCUGAUGCAGCGACGCCGCGUGGGGGAUGACGGCCUUCGGGUUGGAAACUCCUUUCGCUAGGGACGAAGCGUUUUGUGACGGUACCUGGAGAAGAAGCACCGGCUAACUACGUG
This 466-nucleotide ribosomal RNA is filed under the name uncultured bacterium. RNAcentral describes it as "partial 16S ribosomal RNA". It matches the Rfam family "Bacterial small subunit ribosomal RNA", at positions 29 to 507 of the family's 1533-position model. The record is from RNAcentral.